AACGAACGCUGGCGGCAUGCCUAACACAUGCAAGUCGAACGAGACCUUUGGGUCUAGUGGCGCACGGGUGCGUAACGCGUGGGAAUCUGCCCUUGGGUUCGGAAUAACAGUGAGAAAUUGCUGCUAAUACCGGAUGAUGUCUUCGGACCAAAGAUUUAUCGCCCAGGGAUGAGCCCGCGUAGGAUUAGCUAGUUGGUGGGGUAAUGGCCUACCAAGGCGACGAUCCUUAGCUGGUCUGAGAGGAUGAUCAGCCACACUGGAACUGAGACACGGCCCAGACUCCUACGGGAAGCAGCAGUGGGGAAUAUUGGACAAUGGGCGCAAGCCUGAUCCAGCAAUGCCGCGUGAGUGAUGAAGGCCUUAGGGUUGUAAAGCUCUUUUACCAGGGAUGAUAAUGGCAGUACCUGGAGAAUAAGCUCCGGCUAACUCCGUG
This 433-nucleotide ribosomal RNA is filed under the name uncultured bacterium. RNAcentral describes it as "partial 16S ribosomal RNA". It matches the Rfam family "Bacterial small subunit ribosomal RNA", at positions 29 to 507 of the family's 1533-position model. The record is from RNAcentral.